AAUUACUGGGCGUAAAGCGCAUGCAGGUGGUUUGUUAAGUCAGAUGUGAAAGCCCGGGCUCAACCUCGGAAUAGCAUUUGAAACUGGCAGACUAGAGUACUGUAGAGGGGGGUAGAAUUUCAGGUGUAGCGGUGAAAUGCGUAGAGAUCUGAAGGAAUACCGGUGGCGAAGGCGGCCCCCUGGACAGAUACUGACACUCAGAUGCGAAAGCGUGGGGAGCAAACAGGAUUAGAUACCCUGGUAGUCCACGCCGUAAACGAUGUCUACUUGGAGGUUGUGGCCUUGAGCCGUGGCUUUCGGGSUAACGCGUUAAGUAGACCGCCUGGGGAGUACGGUCGCAAGAUUAAAACUCAAAUGAAUUGACGGGGGCCCGCACAAGCGGUGGAGCAUGUGGUUUAAUUCGAUGCAACGCGAAGAACCUUACCUACUCUUGACAUCCAGAGAACUUUCCAGAGAUGGAUUGGUGCUUCGGGAACUCUGAGACAGGUGCUGCAUGGCUGUCGUCAGCUCGUGUUGUGAAAUGUUGGGUUAAGUCCCGCAACGAGCGCAACCCUUAUCCUUGUUUGCCAGCACUUCGGGUGGGAACUCCAGGGAGACUGCCGGUGAUAAACCGGAGGAAGGUGGGGACGACGUCAAGUCAUCAUGGCCCUUACGAGUAGGGCUACACACGUGCUACAAUGGCGCAUACAGAGGGCGGCCAACUUGCGAGAGUGAGCGAAUCCCAAAAAGUGCGUCGUAGUCCGGAUCGGAGUCUGCAACUCGACUCCGUGAAGUCGGAAUCGCUAGUAAUCGUGGAUCAGAAUGCCACGGUGAAUACGUUCCCGGGCCUUGUACACACCGCCCGUCACACCAUGGGAGUGGGCUGCAAAAGAAGUAGGUAGUUUAACUUCGGGAGGACGCUUACCACUUUGUGGUUCAUGACUGGGGUGAAGUCGUAACAAGGUAACC
Molecule: ribosomal RNA, 948 nt
Filed under: Vibrio harveyi
Lineage: Bacteria; Pseudomonadati; Pseudomonadota; Gammaproteobacteria; Vibrionales; Vibrionaceae
Description: bacterial SSU rRNA
Rfam family: Bacterial small subunit ribosomal RNA
Source: RNAcentral